GCUGCGUAUGGUGGUGUACACCUGUAAUUCCAGCACCUCGGGAGGCUGAGACAGGAGGAUCACAAGUUCAGUGCCAGCCUCAGCAAAAGUGAGGUGCUAAGCAACUCAAUGAGACCCUGUCUCUU
This 125-nucleotide small RNA is filed under the name Marmota monax (woodchuck). The record is from RNAcentral. Lineage: Eukaryota; Metazoa; Chordata; Mammalia; Rodentia; Sciuridae.